AGUGAACGCUGGCGGUAGGCCUAACACAUGCAAGUCGAACGGCAGCACAGUAAGAGCUUGCUCUUACGGGUGGCGAGUGGCGGACGGGUGAGGAAUACAUCGGAAUCUACUUUUUCGUGGGGGAUAACGUAGGGAAACUUACGCUAAUACCGCAUACGACCUACGGGUGAAAGCAGGGGAUCUUCGGACCUCGCGCGAUUGAACGAGCCGAUGUCGGAUUAGCUAGUUGGCGGGGUAAAGGCCCACCAAGGCGACGAUCCGUAGCUAGUCUGAGAGGAUGAUCGGCCACACUGGAACUGAGACGCGGUACAGACUCCUACGAGAGGCAGCAGUGGGUAAUAUUGGACAAUAGGCGCAAGCCUGAUCCAGCCAUACCGAGCGGGUGAAGAAGGCCUUCGGGUUGUAAAACCCUUUUGUUGGAAAAGACAAGCAGCGGGUUAAUACCCCGCUGGUCUGACAGUACCCGAAGAAUAAGCACCGGCUAACUUCGUG
RNAcentral lists this ribosomal RNA (492 nucleotides) under uncultured bacterium. RNAcentral's name for it is "partial 16S ribosomal RNA". It matches the Rfam family "Bacterial small subunit ribosomal RNA", at positions 29 to 507 of the family's 1533-position model. The record is from RNAcentral.